RNAcentral lists this ribosomal RNA (406 nucleotides) under uncultured bacterium. RNAcentral describes it as "partial 16S ribosomal RNA". It matches the Rfam family "Bacterial small subunit ribosomal RNA", at positions 30 to 526 of the family's 1533-position model. The record is from RNAcentral.
AUUGAACGCUGGCGGCAGGCCUAACACAUGCAAGUCGAACGAGUGGCGGACGGGUGAGUAAUGUCUGGGAAACUGCCUGAUGGAGGGGGAUAACUACUGGAAACGGUAGCUAAUACCGCAUACCAUCGGAUGUGCCCAGAUUGGAUUAGCUAGUAGGGGGGGUAACGGGGCACCUAGGAGACGAUCCCUAGCUGGUCUGAGAGGAUGACCAGCCACACUGGAACUGUGACACGGUCCAGACUCCUACGGGAGGCAGCAGUGGGGAAUAUUGCACAAUGGGUGAAAGCCGGGUGCAUCCAUGCCGCGUGUAUGAAGAAGGCCUUCGGGUUGUAAAGUACUUUCAGCGGGGAGGCGUUACCCGCAGAAGAAGCACCGGCUAACUCCGUGCCAGCCGCCGCGGUAAUAC